Molecule: ribosomal RNA, 493 nt
Filed under: uncultured bacterium
Lineage: Bacteria
Description: partial 16S ribosomal RNA
Rfam family: Bacterial small subunit ribosomal RNA
Source: RNAcentral
AUUGAACGCUGGCGGCAUGCUUUACACAUGCAAGUCGAACGGUAACAGGUUAAGCUGACGAGUGGCGAACGGGUGAGUAAUGCAUCGGAACGUGCCCGGUCGUGGGGGAUAACGCAGCGAAAGCUGCGCUAAUACCGCAUACGAUCUGAGGAUGAAAGCGGGGGACCGUAAGGCCUCGCGCGAUCGGAGCGGCCGAUGUCAGAUUAGGUAGUUGGGGGGGUAAAGGCUCACCAAGCCAACGAUCUGUAGCUGGUCUGAGAGGACGACCAGCCACACGGGGACGGAGGCACGGCCCAGACUCCUACGGGAGGCGGCAGUGGGGAAUUUUGGACAAGGGGCGAAAGCCUGAUCCAGCAAUGCCGCGUGCAGGAAGAAGGCCUUCGGGUUGUAAACUGCUUUUGUACGGAGCGAAAAGGUCUCCUCUAAUACAGGGGGCUCAUGACGGUACCGGAAGAAUAAGCACCGGCUAACUACGUGCCAGCCGCCGCCGUAA